This is a non-coding RNA of Klebsormidium nitens, 112 nucleotides long. NCBI's taxonomy places the organism in Eukaryota, Viridiplantae, Streptophyta, Klebsormidiophyceae, Klebsormidiales, Klebsormidiaceae. The record is from Rfam.
CUCCGCGUGAUUACGGUCUCAGUAUAUAUACGCCUCGCCUUUUACUAGACGUAUCACGGCCAUAAUCACACUACGCGGAUUUUCCCAAUUUUUCUGAGCCUCGAAAGAGGCC